AUCUAGUAGCCAGCAUGUCUAGUAUAAACGUCAAUACAAGUGAAACUGCGAAUGGCUCAUUAUAUCAGAAACAAUCUACAUGAUCGUUUUUUACUCGGAUAACUGAGCAAAAGGUUGAGCUAAUAGUGAACAAAGCUCUGACUUCUGGAAGGAGCGUAUAUAUUAGAUUAAAAACCAACCGGGCAACCGUUAUUUGGUGAUUCAUAAUAUCUGCUCGAAUCGCAGGACCUUGAGUCGGCGAUGGUUCAUUCGAAUUUCUGCCCUAUCAACUUUCGAUGGUAGGAUAGGGGCCUACCAUGGUUUUAACGGGUAACGGAGAAUUAGGGUUCGAUUCCGGAGAGGGAGCUUCGAGAGAUGGCUACCACAGCUAAGGCAGGCAGCAGGCGCGCAAAUUACCCAAUCCUGACACGGGGAGGUAGUGACAAUAAAUAACAAGACAGAGCUCUUACGAGUUUUGUCAUUGGAAUGAGAACAAUUUAAAUCCCUUAACGAGGAACAAUUGGAGGGCAAGUCUGGUGCCAGCAGCCGCGGUAAUUCCAGCUCCAAUAGCGUACAUUAAUGUUGCUGCGGUUAAAAAGCUCGUAGUCGAAUUUUGGGUUUGGCUGGGCGGUCGAACGCAAGUUCUGCACUGCUCUGGUUGAGCUCCAUUUACUGGGGAAGUCUUGUGCUCUUUAGUGAGUGCAAGGGGGAACCAGGACUUUUACUUUGAAGAAAUUAGAGUGUUCAAAGCAGGCAUAAGCUCGAAUACAUUAGCAUGGAAUAAUAGAAUAGGACUUUGGUCUUAUUUUGUUGGUUUCUGGGACUGAAGUAAUGAUUAAUAGGGAUAGUUGGGGGCAUUAGUAUUUAAUUGUCAGAGGUGAAAUUCUUGGAUUUAGGAAAGACUAACUUCUGCGAAAGCAUUUGCCAAGGAUGUUUUCAUUGAUCAAGAACGAAAGUUAGGGGAUCGAAGACGAUUAGAUACCGUCGUAGUCUUAACCAUAAACUAUGCCAACUAGGGAUCGGACGAGUAUAUUUCUAUGUCUCGUUCGGCACCUUAUGAGAAAUCAAAGUU
RNAcentral lists this ribosomal RNA (1051 nucleotides) under uncultured Chytridiomycota. Its description in RNAcentral is "SSU rRNA". It matches the Rfam family "Eukaryotic small subunit ribosomal RNA", at positions 36 to 1105 of the family's 1831-position model. Lineage: Eukaryota; Fungi; Chytridiomycota. The record is from RNAcentral.